Cynoglossus semilaevis (tongue sole) is the source of this 152-nucleotide small nuclear RNA. Its record names the gene U12. It matches the Rfam family "U12 minor spliceosomal RNA". Rfam says of the family: Although the U12 sequence is very divergent from that of U2, the two are functionally analogous. Lineage: Eukaryota; Metazoa; Chordata; Actinopteri; Pleuronectiformes; Cynoglossidae. The record is from Ensembl.
AUGCCUUAAACUGAUGAGUAAGGAAAAUAACGAUGCGGGGUGACGCCCGUGUCCACGUCAUAGAACGUUUCAAUUUUUGACUGGGCACAGGUCUGUCGGAAAGGUGACUUACCUACUUUGUAAGAUGCCUUACCCGAACUAGGACCUGCCCU